UACGUAGGGUGCGAGCGUUGCCCGGAAUUAUUGGGCGUAAAGAGCUUGUAGGCGGUUUGUCGCGUCUGCUGUGAAAAUCCGGGGCUCAACCCCGGACUUGCAGUGGGUACGGGCAGACUAGAGUGUGGUAGGGGAGACUGGAAUUCCUGGUGUAGCGGUGAAAUGCGCAGAUAUCAGGAGGAACACCGAUGGCGAAGGCAGGUCUCUGGGCCACUACUGACGCUGAGAAGCGAAAGCAUGGGGAGCGAACAGG
Molecule: ribosomal RNA, 253 nt
Filed under: uncultured bacterium
Lineage: Bacteria
Description: partial 16S ribosomal RNA
Rfam family: Bacterial small subunit ribosomal RNA
Source: RNAcentral